Molecule: ribosomal RNA, 556 nt
Filed under: uncultured bacterium
Lineage: Bacteria
Description: partial 16S ribosomal RNA
Rfam family: Bacterial small subunit ribosomal RNA
Source: RNAcentral
UGGGGAAUAUUGCACAAUGGGCGGAAGCCUGAUGCAGCAACGCCGCGUGAGGGAUGACGGCCUUCGGGUUGUAAACCUCUUUUAGCAGGGAAGAAGCGAGAGUGACGGUACCUGCAGAAAAAGCGCCGGCUAACUACGUGCCAGCAGCCGCGGUAAUACGUAGGGCGCAAGCGUUAUCCGGAAUUAUUGGGCGUAAAGAGCUCGUAGGCGGUUUGUCGCGUCUGCUGUGAAAUCCCGAGGCUCAACCUCGGGCCUGCAGUGGGUACGGGCAGACUAGAGUGCGGUAGGGGAGAUUGGAAUUCCUGGUGUAGCGGUGGAAUGCGCAGAUAUCAGGAGGAACACCGAUGGCGAAGGCAGAUCUCUGGGCCGUAACUGACGCUGAGGAGCGAAAGGGUGGGGAGCAAACAGGCUUAGAUACCCUGGUAGUCCACCCCGUAAACGUUGGGAACUAGUUGUGGGGACCAUUCCACGGUUUCCGUGACGCAGCUAACGCAUUAAGUUCCCCGCCUGGGGAGUACGGCCGCAAGGCUAAAACUUGAAAGGAAUUGACGGGGUC